CUUUGUUGGAACUGUUUUGGGGUGGGCAACCUCUUGAUGGUGCAAGAGCUUCGUGAACUAACGAAGCAAUAUGCCCUAGGAGUGGUGUGCAUGUUGGAGACACGGAUUGAUAAAACAUGUGUCAAAAGUUUAGCCGCAACAUUUGGAUUUAAUAAAAGUUUCAACAUUAGUAAUUCGGGAAGAAGUGGUGGAAUUAUUUAUUUUGGAAUAUAUAAAUAG
RNAcentral lists this ribosomal RNA (219 nucleotides) under Triticum aestivum (bread wheat). RNAcentral describes it as "partial small subunit ribosomal RNA". Lineage: Eukaryota; Viridiplantae; Streptophyta; Magnoliopsida; Poales; Poaceae. The record is from RNAcentral.